UCCCAAGGUGCUGGGAUUACAGAUGUGAACCACUGCACCCAGCCUGAACUUUGUCACACUUGAGCAGAGCUUGAAAUGCAAUUGUGCAGCUUGGCUGGGGUACUUUUGGUUAGUCCUCCUCUGUGAGAACAAUGUGCCCCAGAUAGUGGCUAUUGUUCAGCAUGGGUUCCAGAAUAAGAAGAUGUGUGCUGAUCGGGCACGGUGUCUCACCCUGUAAUGAGACACCUUCACUUAAUGGCAGGCACCUUCAUCCACACUACUGUCUCUGCCUGAGGCUCUGCCCUUUACUUGUCUGUCACUACUUGUCCUUCAAGAUUUACCCAGGCAUGAGCCACCACACCUGGCGUAACCCAUCUUCUUGACUCCACUCUUGCCCCUUUCAAUCCUUUCUCCACAUUUCUAGCAUGGCUUUUUCUGAAAACCAAUUUGACUCAUGUCAGCUUCCGGUUGAGCUGAACUUCUUUCAGUUCCUCAAAUUAACAGAGCUUUGCCCUCCUCCACAAAUGCUGUUUUCUCUGCUGGGGCCUCCUGUCCCUUAAGCCACCUCCAUGGACUGGCUCCUUCUUCUUUCUGCCCCCCAUGUAAAUUUCAGGCUGCCUGCCCACCUCCAAGACUGCUGGGUGUCCCUGCUGUGUGUCACCCUCCUCCGAAGUGCCUUGGUGUUGGUGUGCCCCGUCACAGUGCUCAUCACACAUCCCUGCAGUGCUGAGUUCAGGGAGUGUCUCCCAGCACCAGACUGGCAGCUCCCUAAGGUUUUGUCAAGAAAGUGUGUAAUGCAACUAAGUCACAGUCCACCUAGAAGCAUUCGUGGACGAUGGAGGGGCCGGACUGGUCAUACUUCUGCUUGCUGAUCCACAUCUGCUGGAAGGUAGACAGCGAGGCCAG
This 885-nucleotide long non-coding RNA is filed under the name Homo sapiens (human). RNAcentral describes it as "HSALNT0278152". Lineage: Eukaryota; Metazoa; Chordata; Mammalia; Primates; Hominidae. The record is from RNAcentral.